GUUUUGGUUCAACCCGCACCCAGCCUAACUUAUUAACAUCAGGUUGAAGCUCAACUACAGAGCAAGGGUAAUCAUUCUUUCGAUCUUGCUUGUUGGUCUUUUCAUGGAUAUCUCUUGGGUUGGGUAAGAUCUUAAUAAGAUAUGAACGUCGUAUAGUGAAUCAGUGGAUAGUUUAGCGAAAACUAUUGAUAAAGUUUUCUUUAAGCCUUAAGAACCAGGUCGCCGCUGGUCCUAUCAUACUUUCCACGACGAGUUGCCAAUAUCCGAAAUUUUUCUCUGUUGCGUUAAAGUGUGCUUGUCUCAUGGAUAUGUUGUCAUGUGAUCACUACAAUCUGUCUCGCAUGAAAAAGAUGAGAUCUUGAUUUUGUCCAAGUGUCGGAUCUUGAUUAUCUUUGUCGUGAACUGCGUCUUCUGUAUUUCAGCGAGAACAUGCUCUAUUUCUGGCACUGAACUUGUUCCUCGAUGAACCUUGGAUGAGAUAUUUUGUAUUGAAUUCCAAAUAAAAUCGAUUUCUUGGUUGGUUGGUUGGUUGACC
This is a long non-coding RNA of Brassica napus (rape), 535 nucleotides long. RefSeq lists it as uncharacterized. The record is from RefSeq and is a predicted model, not a curated record. The transcript is spliced from 2 exons. Lineage: Eukaryota; Viridiplantae; Streptophyta; Magnoliopsida; Brassicales; Brassicaceae.